AUACAGCUGACCAGUCCCAAAUAAAACGAAACACGUGUCAAACUGAAU
Molecule: non-coding RNA, 48 nt
Filed under: Schistosoma mansoni
Lineage: Eukaryota; Metazoa; Platyhelminthes; Trematoda; Strigeidida; Schistosomatidae
Source: RNAcentral